GACGAACGCUGGCGGCGUGCCUAAUACAUGCAAGUAGAACGCUGAAGGAGGAGCUUGCUUCUCCGGAUGAGUUGCGAACGGGUGAGUAACGCGUAGGUAACCUGCCUGGUAGCGGGGGAUAACUAUUGGAAACGAUAGCUAAUACCGCAUAACAGUAGAUAUCGCAUGAUAUCUGCUUGAAAGGUGCAAUUGCAUCACUACCAGAUGGACCUGCGUUGUAUUAGCUAGUUGGUGAGGUAACGGCUCACCAAGGCGACGAUACAUAGCCGACCUGAGAGGGGGAUCGGCCACACUGGGACUGAGACACGGCCCAGACUCCUACGGGAGGCAGCAGUAGGGAAUCUUCGGCAAUGGACGGAAGUCUGACCGAGCAACGCCGCGUGAGUGAAGAAGGUUUUCGGAUCGUAAAGCUCUGUUGUAAGAGAAGAACGAGUGUGAGAGUGGAAAGUUCACACUGUGACGGUAGCUUACCAGAAAGGGACGGCUAACUACGUG
RNAcentral lists this ribosomal RNA (495 nucleotides) under uncultured bacterium. Its description in RNAcentral is "partial 16S ribosomal RNA". It matches the Rfam family "Bacterial small subunit ribosomal RNA", at positions 28 to 507 of the family's 1533-position model. The record is from RNAcentral.